AGGGAAUAUUGCGCAAUGGACGGAAGUCUGACGCAGCGACGCCGCGUGAGCGAUGAAGGUCUUCGGAUCGUAAAGCUCUGUCCUUGGGGAAGAAGGCGAAAGCUUGACGGUACCCAAGAAGAAAGCCCCGGCUAACUACGUGCCAGCAGCCGCGGUAAUACGUAGGGGGCGAGCGUUGUCCGGAAUUACUGGGCGUAAAGGGUUCGCAGGUGGCCUUUUAAGUCAGAUGUGAAAGAUCAAGGCUUAACCUUGGUAAGCAUUUGAAACUGAAAGGCUUGAGUUAAGGAGAGGAAAGUGGAAUUCCUAGUGUAGCGGUGAAAUGCGUAGAUAUUAGGAGGAAUACCAGUGGCGAAGGCGACUUUCUGGACUUAUACUGACACUGAGGAACGAAAGCAUGGGGAGCAAACA
This 408-nucleotide ribosomal RNA is filed under the name uncultured Tissierella sp. RNAcentral's name for it is "bacterial SSU rRNA". It matches the Rfam family "Bacterial small subunit ribosomal RNA", at positions 356 to 774 of the family's 1533-position model. The record is from RNAcentral. Lineage: Bacteria; Bacillati; Bacillota; Tissierellia; Tissierellales; Tissierellaceae.